GGACAGAUGUCUGAGCGGUUUAAGGAGCACGCUUGGAAAGCGUGUGUAGGGCAACCUACCGUGGGCUCGAAUCCCACUCUGUCCGCCA
RNAcentral lists this transfer RNA (88 nucleotides) under Verrucomicrobiales bacterium. Its description in RNAcentral is "tRNA-Ser". It matches the Rfam family "tRNA". From Rfam's summary of the family: Transfer RNA (tRNA) molecules are approximately 80 nucleotides in length. The record is from RNAcentral. Lineage: Bacteria; Pseudomonadati; Verrucomicrobiota; Verrucomicrobiia; Verrucomicrobiales.